Molecule: long non-coding RNA, 941 nt
Organism: Astatotilapia calliptera (eastern happy)
Lineage: Eukaryota; Metazoa; Chordata; Actinopteri; Cichliformes; Cichlidae
Source: Ensembl
GUGUGCAACUACUUUAUCCUAGUAACACAAACAGAAGAAAAUCCGUUUUUUAAUCCCUUUCAAACUCGAGGAAUCUGGGACUUCCACGCCUCUUCCCACCUGCUCCUGACAGUUUGCUUGUCAUUCUUUUUUUUUUUCUGUGAUAUUCGCUGUUUUCUUAGAUCUUCUUUUUUAAUCAAUAAAGGGAGCGACACAUGCAGCGGGUCGGUGCUGCAUGUGGACCACAAGGUGGAGAGCUGGAGACUGGAAUUAACCACGCCAGUGCCUCCCACACAGAGAGCUCUGAAAUGUGACAGAGGGGAACUCGGGCUGACCUCUUCAAGCAGCUUUGUGUCACGGCAGCACCAUGUCUGGAGAAUUCAGAUGAAAUAUUCUCUAAUCAUGUUUCCUAAUGUGGACCCACCACAAGCAGGAACAAAAGCUGGAUCUUCAGAGCUAACAUUUGCAAAACUGCUUUUUUGCAUCCUUAAUGCCAAGAAAUACACACAUGGAAGCUGAUCAUGACGGGGCUAUAUGUGACAAAGAAAAUGCCCAGUUGGAUACAAGUGUCUUCAUUCAAGCUGUGGCGGUCCUCCCUGGUUCGGCUAGCACAGGCGUGUGUCUGCUGUCCACCAGAGCUCAAACACAUGUUUGAACAUAUUUUAGAAGGUGCAAACUCUAAAAAACUAAAACCCAUGGGAGCCAGCAGGCUUUAGUGUUAAGUUUAAGAUAAAAAUAGAGGUAACUAAAUCAGUUUUCUUGGAAUUUAAAAAAACAAAACAUGAUUAGUUUUGCAGGAGAUGGUCUGUAUCUCAUUGUACAACUGUACAGUGACAAUAAAGGCAUUCUAUCUAUCUAUCUAUCUAUCUAUCUAUCUAUCUAUCUAUCUAUCUAUCUAUCUAUCUAUCUAUCUAUCUAUCUAUCUAUCUAUCUAUCUAUCUAUCUAUCUAUCUAUCUAUCUA